Molecule: non-coding RNA, 317 nt
Organism: Cinara cedri
Lineage: Eukaryota; Metazoa; Arthropoda; Insecta; Hemiptera; Aphididae
Source: the annotation of a GenBank genome assembly
AUAUGUAGGAAAUGGCACAUUCGUACAUUAUCUAAUUAAAUUGUUCUAAAAAAAAAGAUAACAAAUUGAGUAAUUUAUAGUUGUUUAUAAAUUAUUGUAUUAGUGUUCUUAUUAUUACUGCUAAAGAAAAUAAAAAAAGUAAAAUUGUUAUUUAUUGAAGAUUAUUAGUUGACAAAUAACUAUGAUAAAUAAAAAAGAGAAAGGUAUAUUUAUAGUUUGGUAAUUAUUGUACAUAAGUGGACUUAUUUGAUGCAAAAAAUCCUUAGAACCUCAUAAAAUUUGGCAUUGAGUUGGUAUAUUAAAAAUAUAUUGGAUGA